Molecule: long non-coding RNA, 1251 nt
Organism: Oncorhynchus tshawytscha (Chinook salmon)
Lineage: Eukaryota; Metazoa; Chordata; Actinopteri; Salmoniformes; Salmonidae
Source: Ensembl
GAGAGAGCCUUGUUGUGGUAGGAGAAGGGAGUAGUGUGGGAGAAUGUCAAUCCGAGAUGCAGAGCAUCAAACAGGCCUCUUUCCCUUUUUCAGCUCCACGCCUCACUUCCUGUCUCUGACUGCCCUCUCCUGUGUCAAUCACACACUUGGAAGUGCCGCCGAACAAAAGACUAAAAUAUCUUCUCCGCCCCAAACCUAUUACCGUUCCUGCUCCUCUCUUAAUCUGAGGAAAGGGGGAGGAGGGGGGCAUUCAGCUGCUCCCGAAGAUCACAAUGUUUAUCAUAGACCCUAAUUAGACCCACAACCAGCGUAAGCCGCACACACUCACACACACGCAAAUCACUCAGGUGCCAUGCACGACUUUGUCUCACACUGUCUCUGAUUAGAAUGAACUGAGGCCCUUACUUUGCAUUGGUAAUUAACAUAAGUGUCCCCUCUGCUCUACUUUCCUAUUCUUCUCCAUCUAGAAAUAUGGUGGCCUGGUGAAUGGUUCCUCAGCUAAGUCAACUAAAGCUAUUAAAAAAAACAGACAUACUCACAUGGGCGUAAUUGGUUAUUUGGAAAGCGGCGCUGACUUCCACCUCACGUUGCCAUGGUAACUAGACGUAUUUUCUUGAAGCAGCACUUUUUUUCCCCCAUCCGUCGUGUUAUUCAUUCAACCUCCUCGAAAUUCUUUUUUUUUUUUUUUUCCUCCUCCAUCUACAUCUGACAUUUGAGUCAUUUAGCAGAUGCUCUUAUCCAGAGAGACUGGCAGUGCAUACAUUUUUAUACUUUAUUUUGUACAUUAUUUUCUCCGGAUCUAUUCUACAUUCUCUUCUCCUAUAGCCAGUGGCCUUACCAGCCUGAUGACAGAUGGGACGGUAAAGAACAAUAACACGCACACACUGACAUAUUGUAGUAUUUUUGUGCCAUAGUUUAAAACUCACGAUACAACAGAUUACCCAGGGGCUGGUUAUUUAUUGUGCAGUCUUUCCAGUGUCUAGGAUACCCAAACUCCCAUACUAGUACAAAGAAAACCUUGAGCGUGCCACAGAGUGAGAGGAAAGGCAACACGGAUGUUUGUGGUGGGAGAGUCUGUGAUAGACAUUAUCUGACGACUGACCGGCUAGUCCUGUGUCGGCUGGUCCUGGCCAGGUCGACUGGGAUGUCGAUAGACGCCAUCUGAGUUAAAAGCAAUAACCUUCAGGUUAAAGUAGGACUGAUAGACUGAGAGUAACAGAGAUCAGCUCUCUCUCUCACACUCACUCCAGG